AAGAUGGCGACCGGCGCACGGGUGAGUAACACGUAUCCAACCUGCCGAUAACUCUGGAAUAGCCUUUCGAAAGAAAGAUUAAUACCGGAUGGCAUACGAAUAUCGCAUGAUAUUUUUGUUAAAGAAUUUCGGUUAUCGAUGGGGAUGCGUUCCAUUAGUUUGUUGGCGGGGUAACGGCCCACCAAGACAACGAUGGAUAGGGGUUCUGAGAGGAAGGUCCCCCACAUUGGAACUGAGACACGGUCCAA
This 248-nucleotide ribosomal RNA is filed under the name uncultured bacterium. RNAcentral's name for it is "partial 16S ribosomal RNA". It matches the Rfam family "Bacterial small subunit ribosomal RNA", at positions 85 to 334 of the family's 1533-position model. The record is from RNAcentral.